CCCAUACAGCUGGAUCUUAUGGAGAUAUUUUUUCAAUUGAGGUUCCCUCCUUUCAGAUGACUCUGGCUUAUGUCAAGUUGACAUAAACUAACCAGGACAAAGACAAGGGUGGACAGACCUUUGAACUGAAGCAAGGUGAUUUCCCACCACGUAUCUGAUAAGGGGUUAAGAUCCUUCAUAUAUAAAGUGGCCUAUGAUUUAAUAACAAUAAGUAGCCCAAUAGAGAAUGGACAAAGCUGGGGACGGUGGUGCCCACCUGAAAUCCCAAUACUCAGGAGUCUGAGGCAGGAGGAUCACAAAGUAAACAGACAGACAGCUAUCUGACUAGGCUACAUAGCAGGACCUGUAAGACAGAACAAAGGGAAAAGCAGACAAGGGCUUGAACAGACAUCCCCCACCGAAGGACAGAGGAUGGCCGAUGCAGACCUGGAAAGAUGUUCACCGAGCGUGGGUCACAGGGACGGGAGAUGGCACCCCCCUCAUGUGAGUGUCAUAAAAUGCAAUACCUUAUGACCAGCGAGCUCACUUCUGACUGUGUAUCCAAAAGAGCCCAGCCAGGAUCUUGGGGGAAACCAUUGCAUGGCCUCAUUGUGACCAAUGCUGUGUAUGGAAGCAGCUGACUGCCCCAUGGACAGUGUUUGGGUAGAUAGUGUGAUACCUGUGAUAGAGUAAGGGACAUGCUUGGGUAGACAGUGCGUGGACAUACCUGUGAUGGAGUACUUCACCUUAGAAACAACUAAGUCUUGUCAUAUGAGACAACAGGACUCAGCCUGGCAGACACCAGGGAGACCAGCCAGUCACCGAGGGAAAUACGUGGGUCCACCCAGGUCAGCUGUGUCCAGACAUCAAGAUCUAAAGACUCAAAAUUGUGCAAACCUGAAGCAGAACAAGGGUUGGUGGGAAGAGGGACUGAGAAGUGGCUGUCAUCUGAAGUAGCCGAGGGAGCCUACUAAGUCCUUCCGCCCCUGGGUAUUCAGAAGUCGCCAACUACACACAAGCCCUUGCUCUUGGGCUUUGAAUCUUCUAAAGCUGUGAGCGAGACAUCACAAGAGUUUAUCAUUUCCUCUAGGGAUUUGUUACAGCGUUUGGUGUGGACUAAGACAGGGUCAGAACAGCCAGCAGCAAUGGUACAGUAGCCAUGCUAGUUUCUUGGCCUACAUUUUGAUUGAUUGAUUGAUUGAUUGAUUGAUACUCAUGUUCAUGCACUUUGAAUGCAUGCCUGCCUGUGUGAGCUCAUGUACCACACAGUGUAUGUCUGGAGACCAGAGGGAACUUGUGGGAGUCAGUUCUCUCCUCCACCACGUAGGUCCUGGGGAGUGACCUUGGGUGUCAGGCUUGGCAGCAAGAACCUUUGCCCUCUCAGUCAUCAAACUGGCCCCAGUUUCUUGGCACUAAUCAAUGGCCACCGGACGAUGUUCAAAGCGGGAGAAGCUGGUUGUAGGGGGGCUUCUCUGUCUUAGCUUGCCUGGCAGGCUAGCCUGGGCCAUUCUCUGCUGUGGGUAUCACCACUGGUGUCAUGCAGCGUUUACUGGGGUCCCCAUCCUGAUCCACUAGGUGCCUGUAAGAUGCCCAGUUUUGACGAUCACAGGUGUCCUCUGCUCCCGAUGAGACCAGAGACCUCACUGCUCCCUUUGUAGCAUCCUCUAAGUCUGCAAAUAUUCCAGAGUGAAAGUGCUUAGCUUCAAUGUGGCAACCCAUGUCUGCAAUCCCAGCACCAGGAAGCUGAUGCAGAGUCGCAAGCUUUGGUCCAGCCUGGGCUACAUAAUGAAGUUAAAGUGGGGAAACUGCCAGAUGCUGGCCGAGUCGCCUCUCCUGAUCAAUACAGGAAGACAUGAACUAGGAAACGAGGGGACUCAAGGCAACAGAGCCCAAGGGUACAAACUGUACGACGAGGCUCAGUUUUAUUAUUAUACCCCAUCUGAUAACAGUUAUGAGACGACAGGUCAGCAAGGAAGCCUGGUUCACAGGCAGCAUCUUCAAGGGAAUAUAAAGCAUGGAAUUAUUAUUUUUUCUUCAGAAAAACAUCUGAGGUGUGGGAACAUCAUUUGCCAUGACUAUUCUUUAGAAAUUGAGGAAGGUCACAGGCAUUCCUGUGUUCCUUCCCAUAUCCGUUGGCAUUCUAAAUUCUCUUCUUGAGAAAUAUGAAAAUGGGAUGUUCCCAUGCCAUAUAUUCGUUCUACGCUCACAUAACCUCAAGUCAAACUCUAAGUCCAUGGGAAAGCAUUCAAGGGAUGGGUACUUGUCGACACAUGCAUUUCAGUAUUGUUCCUCCCACUACUCACCCACCUCAGGCACCCUUUCUCGGUCCUGUCAGACACCCUCCAUGCCCCACAACUGAGCAGUCAGGCCACCCUCUGCCUCUCUGCCCUGGCUAACUUGACCCUCAGACAUGAAGCAGUUUCAAAAGUGAGGUGCAAGUCGGGUGUGGUGGCGCUCACUGUAAUCUCAGCAUUUAUCGAAGGUUCCCUCAUCCUCAGCUCUACAGUGAAUCCACGGCCAGCCUGACCUACAGGGACCCUGUGUCAAAGCAAACGCACAAACUGAUGAACACCGUCAGAGCCCCGCCUUUCGUCCACCGGAACAUGCCUACAUCUAAAUGAAGUUUCCAAGAUUCAUUACAGAGUGAGAAAAGCUAGUGCAGAGGCGGCGAACAGGACGAAAUCCUACGUGUGUAAAGAAUAAGAAAGCAGAAGACCCACGCCAGUCAUUUGUGCAUGAACAUGUCCGUAAGGACCACCAGGAGCCUCUCCUCAUGGUUGUCCGGGGAGCUGCAGGAGAAGAAGACAGACCCUGGACUUGAACUCAGUGGCCUCCGGCUGGGCCCCCAGAUGCCCCUUCUUGUCCUGGUGGCUCUCUGGCUUUUCCUGAGCAGAGCUCUGGGGAUGUCACGAUAGGUUUCUAAAGUAGCACAUCUGGGGGUGGGAGGGUUAAAACCACAGCGUCCUUCAAGCUAAUCACCGUGACAGAGUGCAUUAGAUGCUCAAGUGUUGCUGUGACAAGUGCCUGGCGAGAAGGAGCUGAAGGGGAGGAGGGUGAAUUUCAGCUCAGAGUUUGAAGGGAUACAGUCCAUCAUGGUGGGGAAGGAACGGCGGUAGGAGAGAGGUAGCUGGUCACAUUGAAUCCCGUCAGGGGCAGGAGAGAGAUGAAUAAUGGCCCCUUCCUCCCUUUUAUUCAGUCCAGAACCAUAACCUGUGACAUGUGUUCAGGGUGUCUUCCACCUCAGUAAAGCCUAUCUAGAAACUCCCUCACAGACAGGCCCAGAGUUUUUUUCCAUGGUGACUCUAGACCCUGCCAGGUUGACAACCAAUGUUAAUCAUCACAUAUGGCGAAACACUGCCUUAUGUUAGCCGGGAGGUGGUGGUGCACACCUUUAAUUCCAGCACUCGGGAGGUAGAGGCAGGAGGAUCUCUAUGAGUUCAAGGUCAGAUUGGUCUACAGAGCAAGUUCCAGGACAGACAGAGCUGUUACACAGAUAAACCCUGUCUCAAAAAAAACCACAAAAACAAGCAAACAAAACAAAUCCAGGGACUUAGAAUGCUGCACCCUCAUACAACAAGUAUCCCAUGUGUUUUUUCUCCAGUCACAGUCAACUCUGGCGUGAGAGAAGUUGGGAGUGAGGAGAGGACAGACACAAACACACCAAGAGGUUGUCUAUCACAGCUGUAGAGGAGUGACAGGACACUGGUCCAGCGCCUCUGAACAGAGUUCUGACCCGAGCUGCUGACCCAGAAGAUGGAAUGAAAAGAUAGAUAGACUGGAAAGUUCAUUCUGGCUUAAUCCAGGUGGAAUUUCAUCAGAGCUCCUGGAGAGUUGGACAGCAGAGCGAUGGGGAGGGAGCUGAGGCGGGAGGACAGCCCUUCCCCAGGCGGGCAGGCUUCGAAGGGAGGUGGAGAGUGGGCUGCUGCCACAGGGCUCCCUGUGACCCAGCCUUAGGACAAAGGGCGGGACCUCCUGUCUUCCUUCUCCAGGAAGUGAUUAGGCCGACAGACCUGUUGUCCUCUUGAGGAGCAGCUACCGCGGAUGUAAUUACCCAUUCACUCUGUUAUUAGCUGGGGUAAGAGACAGAGAUGCUCGCCCUGCUCCUGCAUUUCAAAGCUUACUCACACGCCCGCAUCCCUGAUAUUAAACACAAUGAGACUUUUUUGAAUUCAAUUAA
Non-coding RNA from Peromyscus maniculatus bairdii (prairie deer mouse), 4156 nucleotides. The record is from RefSeq and is a predicted model, not a curated record. Lineage: Eukaryota; Metazoa; Chordata; Mammalia; Rodentia; Cricetidae.